GGAUUUAAGCAUAUAAUUAAGCGGAGGAAAAGAAACUAACAAGGAUUCCCCUAGUAAGGGCGACUGAAGCGGGAAAAGCUCACAGUGUGAAUCUGCAUGCCUCUGUGGUGCAAGCCAUGGAGUGUGCCGAAUUGUGGUCUGUAGAGGGUCUUUUCGACCAUUGUCCUGGGCCAAGUCCCUUGGAAUAGGGCAGCAUAGAGGGUGAGACUCCCGUUCAUGCCCAGGAUGGUUGGUCUUGGAAGGACUGCUCGACGAGUCGAGUUGCUUGGGAUUGCAGCUCAAAGUGGGUGGUAAAUUCCAUCUAAGGCUAAAUAUCGGUGGGAGACCGAUAGCGCACAAGUACCGUGAGGGAAAGAUGCAAAGAACUUUGAAAAGAGAGUUAAAAAGUACCUGAAAUUGCUGAAAGGGAAGCGAAGGAAACCAGUAUCGAGUGCUGUCAUAUUUCUCAUGGGCUUGCUUGUGGGCGCUGUGGCAGUACAUGAGCCAGGGAUGGCUGGUCAGGCACAAAUGCUUGCUGUGUUUGACUGAACUGUCGUUGGUGAAAUGGUUUUCUUUCCCCCGUCUUGAAACCGGGACCAAG
This 580-nucleotide ribosomal RNA is filed under the name Ardissonea baculus. RNAcentral describes it as "eukaryotic LSU rRNA". It matches the Rfam family "Eukaryotic large subunit ribosomal RNA", at positions 30 to 670 of the family's 3401-position model. Lineage: Eukaryota; Bacillariophyta; Thalassiosirophyceae; Ardissoneales; Ardissoneaceae. The record is from RNAcentral.